RNAcentral lists this ribosomal RNA (435 nucleotides) under uncultured bacterium. RNAcentral's name for it is "partial 16S ribosomal RNA". It matches the Rfam family "Bacterial small subunit ribosomal RNA", at positions 29 to 507 of the family's 1533-position model. The record is from RNAcentral.
AACGAACGCUGGCGGCAUGCCUAACACAUGCAAGUCGAACGAUUGCCUUCGGGUGAUAGUGGCGCACGGGUGCGUAACGCGGGGGCAUCUGCCCAUAGGUUCGGAAUAACAGCUGGAAACGGCCGCUAAUACCGGAAGAUAUCGCGAGAUCAAAGAUUUAUCGCCUGUGGAUGAGCCCGCGUUGGAUUAGGUAGUUGGUGGGGUAAAGGCCUACCAAGGCGACGAUCCAUAGCUGGUCUGAGAGGAUGAUCAGCCACACUGGGACUGAGACACGGCCCAGACUCCUACGGGAGGCAGCAGUGGGGAAUAUUGGACAAUGGGCGCAAGCCUGAUCCAGCAAUGCCGCGUGAGUGAUGAAGGCCCUAGGGUUGUAAAGCUCUUUUACCCGGGAAGAUAAUGACUGUACCGGGAGAAUAAGCCCCGGCUAACUCCGUG